Long non-coding RNA from Stegodyphus dumicola, 315 nucleotides. The record is from RefSeq and is a predicted model, not a curated record. Lineage: Eukaryota; Metazoa; Arthropoda; Arachnida; Araneae; Eresidae.
GCGACUUUACCGCUCGGCCGCUGGUGGGCCGAAACUAAGAUGUAGGAAAACAUCUGUAGCGGCAGCGCCAAACAGGCGAUACAGACUCAAAAACUCUGGAGAAAAGCGCCAAUUGGCGAAACAGUAAACCUGCUUGACAACACUACGGGCUCACGGGAAGAGAAGAAUUCUGUGUGUGUGCGUCUGUGAAACAACUCGUCCUGUGCCUUCCACGUGAUAUGUAACUGCGAUCUGUGUUGUGACUGUACCCUUCCUUAAGCCAUUGUUAUGUAUCUAUAUUACUUCUCCUUAUUAAAUAUCAUUCUUAAUGUUAAA